Molecule: unclassified non-coding RNA, 89 nt
Filed under: Pseudomonas sp. NFACC14
Lineage: Bacteria; Pseudomonadati; Pseudomonadota; Gammaproteobacteria; Pseudomonadales; Pseudomonadaceae
Source: RNAcentral
UGUGGGAGCGAGCUUGCUCGCGAUGACGGAGUGUCAGCCAAGAUUUUUUUCACUGACACUCCGCCAUCGCGAGCAAGCUCGCUCCCACA